Molecule: non-coding RNA, 59 nt
Organism: Caenorhabditis elegans
Lineage: Eukaryota; Metazoa; Nematoda; Chromadorea; Rhabditida; Rhabditidae
Source: Ensembl
UUGGGUUACGGUAGCUCGAUUUCAGUGCAAACACUGAAUCUGACGACAAAAUGCAGAAA